This 483-nucleotide ribosomal RNA is filed under the name uncultured bacterium. Its description in RNAcentral is "partial 16S ribosomal RNA". It matches the Rfam family "Bacterial small subunit ribosomal RNA", at positions 28 to 507 of the family's 1533-position model. The record is from RNAcentral.
GAUGAACGCUGGCGGCGUGCCUAACACAUGCAAGUCGAACGGAGUCGUUUUGGAAAUCUCUUCGGAGAUGGAAUUCUCGACUUAGUGGCGGCCGGGUGAGUAACGCGUGAGCAAUCUGCCUUUAAGAGGGGGAUAACAGUCGGAAACGGCUGCUAAUACCGCAUAAAGCAUUAAAUUCGCAUGUUUUUGAUGCCAAAGGAGCAAUCCGCUUUUAGAUGAGCUCGCGUCUGAUUAGCUAGUUGGCGGGGUAACGGCCCACCAAGGCGACGAUCAGUAGCCGGACUGAGGGGGUGAGCGGACACAUUGGGACUGAGACACGGCACAGACUCCUACGGGAGGCAGCAGUGGGGAAUAUUGCGCAAUGGGGGAAACCCUGACGCAGCAACGCCGCGUGAUUGAAGAAGGCCUUCGGGUUGUAAAGAUCUUUAAUCAGGGACGAAACAAAUGACGGUACCUGAAGAAUAAGCUCCGGCUAACUACGUG